CAUGGUGACUAUAGCGCGGAGGUCCACCUCUUCCCAUUCCGAACAGAGAAGUUAAGCCCCGCAGCGCCGAUGAUACUGCACGAGAGUUGUGGGAAAGUAGGUCGUCGCCACCC
Molecule: ribosomal RNA, 113 nt
Filed under: Lentimicrobiaceae bacterium
Lineage: Bacteria; Pseudomonadati; Bacteroidota; Bacteroidia; Bacteroidales; Lentimicrobiaceae
Source: RNAcentral